UAGGGAAUUUUCGUCAAUGGGGGAAACCCUGAACGAGCAAUGCCGCGCGAGUGAAGAAGGUCUUCGGAUCGUAAAGUUCUGUUGUAAGUGAAGAACGGCUCAUAGAGGAAAUGCUAUGGGAGUGACGGUAGCUUACCAGAAAGCCACGGCUAACUACGUGCCAGCAGCCGCGGUAAUACGUAGGUGGCAAGCGUUAUCCGGAAUCAUUGGGCGUAAAGGGUGCGUAGGUGGCGUACUAAGUCUGUAGUAAAAGGCAAUGGCUCAACCAUUGUAAGCUAUGGAAACUGGUAUGCUGGAGUGCAGAAGAGAGCGAUGAAAUUCCAUGUGUAGCGGUAAAAUGCGUAGAUAUAUGGAGGAACACCAGUGGCGAAGGCGGUCGCCUGGUCUGUAACUGACACUGAGGCACGAAAGCGUGGGGAGCAAAUAGG
This 428-nucleotide ribosomal RNA is filed under the name Acidobacteriota bacterium. Its description in RNAcentral is "Acidobacteria bacterium partial 16S ribosomal RNA". It matches the Rfam family "Bacterial small subunit ribosomal RNA", at positions 355 to 776 of the family's 1533-position model. The record is from RNAcentral. Lineage: Bacteria; Pseudomonadati; Acidobacteriota.